This 116-nucleotide small nuclear RNA is filed under the name Symbiodinium microadriaticum. RNAcentral describes it as "U5 spliceosomal RNA". It matches the Rfam family "U5 spliceosomal RNA". From Rfam's summary of the family: U5 RNA is a component of both types of known spliceosome. Lineage: Eukaryota; Dinophyceae; Suessiales; Symbiodiniaceae. The record is from Rfam by way of RNAcentral.
AUCACAGCGUUCACUUCAUAGCCCCCCAAUCUUUCGCCUUCUACUAAAGGUUGCUGUGAAUGGGACGCAUCAAUGAGACUCACACAUUUUUUGGGAGCUCUCAACUCCAACAAGCA